Molecule: long non-coding RNA, 2218 nt
Filed under: Gallus gallus (chicken)
Lineage: Eukaryota; Metazoa; Chordata; Aves; Galliformes; Phasianidae
Source: RNAcentral
GCAAACCACAGCAUCCGCUGCAGCAUCAACUGCACGAGCAGCCUGGGAACGGGGCUGUGCAGCAAGCGAGAACUUCGGUGGCUGAUGAGAAAGCGGAGCACCCCUCGUUCCCAGCCCGCUCCUCCUCCCACUGCACGCAAUGGUUGCAGGACAUCUUGAGGCUGAUUGCGGAGGUCAGGACUCAACUGGAAAGACCGCAACGGGUUGCUGACUGGCAUCCACGGCCCAGAUAAGAUAAAAACAACUGAUGACAGCGGGGAAGUGAAACAGUCAUCUCAGCACUUGGAUUAAUGCCCGGCGAGAAGGAAGGGGAAAAAAAACGAGGAGGGCCGUCAGGGAGGGGAAGGGGGUGGAAUACGGAUGAGAAUAGAAACUCUGGAAAAAAGCUAUCAGGAGGCAGCAGAGCCGGGUGUUAAAUAUUUAUGAAUUAGCAGCACUCGUCGUGCCCUGCCUGCGCCGUGUGGGUGCUGAGAGGGAUGGGGAUGAGGGGAGCAUGUGGCCAUGGCUGGGCUGCAGCAGCACCACGCAGAACAAAUGCAGGUGAAGAGAAGGAGAAAUGAGGCGCUACGAAAGCCGCUAUUCCAAAAAUUCUGCUGAAGAGCAGCGGGGUAAUUAAAUCAUAAUUGCUUCUUGCUCAGCCUGUGUGACAUUGUGAGUGGCUGAAGGUGGUGAGGAGAGGAGGGGAAGUUUUGCUGCUGCUCCACUCGCAAUGGGGCAGCCCCAGACCUGCUGGGCCCCAACGCUCUGCCCCCGCCCUCUGCUCCGGGCUGGGUGCUGCCUCCCGCUGCAUCCCACUCUGUGCUGUGCUGGCACAGCCCUGGUAUGUGCCAGACCUGAGUGUGAGGAGCUGAAGUGCCAAAUCCGAGAGCUUUGGAGGAGUCAUUCCCAACCGUGAGACAAACAGCCUGCAAAUCCUGUAGGCAGUGAAUUACACUGCGGUGUUGUGUAACGUUUAAGGGGCUGAUGUGACCUGGCAGCAUGAAGGACACUUAGGGCUCAGGCUUAAAAACCUGAACCUUCGCAGCACGUGGCUCCAGGGUGGGUUUUCUCUUCCCCACCGUAGCAGCUGCACUGGGAUCAGAGACUCUUUUCAACUCUGUGGACGUUCCGAGUUCUGCUGAAGUUUCCUCCUUUUUGUUUCAAAGUCACAGAAACACUUGGUGCGUUCCGAAGCGCACUGGAAUGAGGUCCUCCUGCACGUGGGUACAGUUGAGCAGCAGUUCGGAGGUGACGCGGGGAUGCUGGGAUGCAGGGUGCAGGACAUCCCCAGGCUGUGGGCACUGCGGGGGAUGCAGCUCUGCAGCCCCUUACCAACCAUCCCAUCCAUUCUGCUGGGAGCAUGGGAUAAGACCCGCUGUGGUGCUCCCACUUCCAUGGAAAAGAGCAUCCCUGCUGUGGUGGGCUGGAGAAUAACUGUGCAGCUCGUGGGAAGCUCCGGCCUUUGGCACUGUGAGGGAAGGUUGAGCAGGUUGUGCUCCCACCUGGUGUAAUUGUUUCUUCGGUAGCUGUAAGGACUUGCCUGUUGCUCCUCCCCAUCCCUCUCGCCAUGCAGAUGGGGUGUCCCUACCUGGGAUCCCAGUGGGCACCAGUGGGAGUGCUGUGCCCACAGCUGAUCCUGGCACCGGCUGGAAGGCAAUGGGAGGAGGAAAAGGGCUCUGGCGACGCAGACAAUAAAAGUCUCUGCGUUCCACUGAAGUUUCUUGAGCAACUGGCAUUUGCCCAUAAAUGUACUUAAGCAGAAAAUCACCAGAAAAGUGCUAUAAUCUGACAGAUUUUUCACAGGCUUAAAUAUUCAUGAAUUAAAAGAAUUGGCAGAAUUUUCUACAUUAUUAGCUUUCAGCAUGGCUACGGGAGCAGUUGGUGCACUGGCUGCUCUUCAAAAACUAUUAAUCUAGUCUGUCAUCACAGCAGCCAUUUUUUAAUUAGCUACUUUGCUGAACGAUCUGGUGCAGCAGCGAGACUGGAACAUUUACGUGGUAUUAAAGUUUUAAAGGUGCCCCUUUCCAUUUUUAAGCAAAGUUCUGAAACGCAGCAAUAGGGAAGCGAGGCGGAGGCGGAUCGCCCCGCUCCAAUGGUUAACUGCUGCUUUUAUUUUGGAAAACCACGGCUUGGAAUACUGAGCUGCUUCUAUGAGGAGCAGAAAUUGCGUGAAAUAAAUUGGUUCUCUAAACUGAAGUUCACAGCAUUCCUUCCCCAUGAAAUCAAAAGGAGAUGUUUG